Molecule: ribosomal RNA, 255 nt
Filed under: uncultured bacterium
Lineage: Bacteria
Description: partial 16S ribosomal RNA
Rfam family: Bacterial small subunit ribosomal RNA
Source: RNAcentral
UACAGAAGGCAGCUACACGGCGACGUGAUGCUAAUCCCCAAAACCUCUCUCAGUUCGGAUUGGAGUCUGCAACCCGACUCCAUGAAGCUGGAUUCGCUAGUAAUCGCGCAUCAGCCACGGCGCGGUGAAUACGUUCCCGGGCCUUGUACACACCGCCCGUCAAGCCAUGAAAGCCGGGGGGUACCUGAAGUCCGUAACCGUAAGGAGCGGCCUAGGGUAAAACUGGUGACUGGGGCUAAGUCGUAACAAGGUAAC